GACGAACGCUGGCGGCGUGCUUAACACAUGCAAGUCGAACGGAAAGGCUCCAGCUUGCUGGAGUACUCGAGUGGCGAACGGGUGAGUAACACGUGGGUAAUCUGCCCUGCACUCUGGGAUAAGCCUGGGAAACUGGGUCUAAUACUGGAUAUGACCUUUCUCCUUAUGAGGUUUGGUGGAAAGUUUUUCGGUGUAGGAUGAGCCCGCGGCCUAUCAGCUUGUUGGUGGGGUGAUGGCCUACCAAGGCGACGACGGGUAGCCGGCCUGAGAGGGUGAUCGGCCACAUUGGGACUGAGAUACGGCCCAGACUCCUACGGGAGGCAGCAGUGGGGAAUAUUGCACAAUGGGCGGAAGCCUGAUGCAGCGACGCCGCGUGAGGGAUGACGGCCUUCGGGUUGUAAACCUCUUUCAGCAGGGACGAAGCGUAAGUGACGGUACCUGCAGAAGAAGCACCGGCUAACUAUGUG
This 467-nucleotide ribosomal RNA is filed under the name uncultured bacterium. Its description in RNAcentral is "partial 16S ribosomal RNA". It matches the Rfam family "Bacterial small subunit ribosomal RNA", at positions 28 to 507 of the family's 1533-position model. The record is from RNAcentral.